UUCGAGCCUUCAUUGCAAAAAAAAGAACACAGAGAAGAGUUAGAUUCUAUGAAUUUACAACUUCUUGAAGUAACGAAAAUCAACAGGGCUAAAAUAAGUUUAAAAGAUCAACCAGUUGCUUCCGAAGUGGUACUAGUAGAUAGGGAGACUGUAAAGGUUACAUAAAACGCAUCUAUUCACAGUGAGGAUAAUAAUAGUAGUAGCAGUAAUCUCUAUUUCUAUUAGCCCCAUAAUAGCGUCAUUAAUAAUAAUAUAACUGUUAGCAACAACAGUAAUAGCAAAUAUAAUAUAUAACUCCAGCAGGGUGACCACAACUGAAAGUCAUUAGAUACUCAGAGGAGCCCUCAAGAGCUUUACACGACACCGUUGGCAUAGAGAUGGGCAGCGCUUCUGGCACCGGCUCUAUUACUAAUGAAUGACCAUCUACUAUGGCGCCCCCCUGCGAAUUCGUAAAGAAAAAAAUCCCUCCUGUUAUCCUCUGUAAAAAUUAAACUGGUGCCUUCUAUUUCAACUUUUACAAUCCAACGGCGUCAUGAUACGAGGUCAAGAGAGACAGUGAAGGGACAAUUGGUAAAAAGAGGAAGCCACCUAGUACGAGGCAAGACAGAAAUACCUGGAAGCAUUCAGGGAUCGUUCUAUUAACAUUCAGAAAGCUACAAUUUCAUAUUAUGAAAAGCAAUAUUAUACACGCUACUAAAUGUUUUCCG
Molecule: long non-coding RNA, 707 nt
Organism: Zophobas morio
Lineage: Eukaryota; Metazoa; Arthropoda; Insecta; Coleoptera; Tenebrionidae
Exons: 3
Source: RefSeq, a predicted model, not a curated record